AGCAACCACUCCAUCCUGCCUCCCCGACACCUCCAACGCGUCGCCGCCUCCUGCAACGCCCCACCCUGCCUCACCACGCGCCGCUCGCCGCCGCCGCCCACCCCGCUGGCGCGCCUACCCCUACCCCGAGUGCCCCCACACCCGCAGCCUUCCACUGCCGGCGACCCGUGGCCUGCCACCGCCGACGACGAGGAACUGCCGGAUCUCGACGAAUCAGGUGAGGAAUGGCGCGUAGGCAGCGAAUCUGGAAGGAAGGCGGCCGGGGCUUGGAGCAUGACGGCUACCGGCGCGCCAUGGCAUUGGGGGGAGGGGGUGUCCCAUGCUCCGACCGUUUGUGUCCGCGCGAGGAGCUCACCCCCAAAUAACUCCUCGGGCGUCCUGCGGGCCCAGGCUGGAGGCGGCAGGCCGCAGCGCGGGGAGCCCGCCGCGAGGGCAGACAGGAACGACGCGCCUGGCGCCGGCGGGGGAUGCGGGAGGGCAGCAGCUCACGGGCGAGGAGGCCCCCGCGACACGCGGGGGGGGGGGGGGGGGGGGGGGGGGGGGGGGGGGGGGGGCUCGAGGCCGGCGCGGGCGGCGGGAGGGGGACUCGACGUACCAGGGCUAUGACGUGCAGUGUCUGGCGAGGUGGGUGGACCACGCGCUGCCCUUCUCCCUGCUCCUCCUCGACGUCUUCAUCCGCCAGCACCUGCAAGGUUUCUUCGUAAUGAUUUGGAUUACCGCAGUCAUGUUCAAGUCAAAUGAUAUCUUGCGCAAGCAGACCGCUCUCAAGGCUACAAGGUUGGGGGAGCGACCCUGCCGUUGUCAUGAUGACUGCUCCUUCUGGCCGGAUCGAGGCACGAAGACCUGUGGGAUCCCCUCCUUCGGCAGGACCUCCUCAUCUGGAGGACUGCCUGUGAUGAGUUAAGGCACAAGAAGAUCUACAACCAUUUUAGCUCCAGCAGUUAGUACACAACCAAUCAACAGUGCAUUUUCACGACCCAGGCUUCUGAAUUCUGACUGACAGGCUCGCAGGCACAGUCACAUAUAAUCUCACGCAUUCAAAAUGCUAGCUACAUGAAAUACGCCCAGAUUUACGAGUAGAAAUCCAAGAUUCCUCCUCUAUGUUCAAUUUUCCUAAUAGGAAGAACCAUACCAACAACCCUUGAACUAGAUUGGUCGAAGCAGCAUACAUACAUAUUCAUGUUUUACAUUUUAAAUUUGAAGACCAAGGCAACUCCCGGUCGAUUUAAUUGGAGGCAUUGCAGUCCAAUUGUUCUAAGGAUUGGAACCAGACGUGUGACUCAAUACUGCUUGGAACAUGUGAGCAAAGUUUACGUACAUGCACCUUCUUGGAUGAUACAACUUCUCUAUGUUUGUACCUCCUCGUCAUUCUUUGCAAACUUUAUGAGUAAAAAGUAAGAAGUAAUGUUCUCUGUCGGUGUCAAAACCGGCGGAUCUCGGGUAGGGGAUCCCGAACUGUGCGUCUAGGCGGAUGGUAACAGGAGGUAGGGGACACAAUGUUUUACCCAGGUUUGGGCCCUCUUGAUGGAGCUAAA
Molecule: non-coding RNA, 1535 nt
Organism: Triticum urartu
Lineage: Eukaryota; Viridiplantae; Streptophyta; Magnoliopsida; Poales; Poaceae
Source: RefSeq, a predicted model, not a curated record